UAGGUUAACGAGGCGAACCGGGGGAACUGAAACAUCUAAGUACCCCGAGGAAAAGAAAUCAACCGAGAUUCCCCCAGUAGCGGCGAGCGAACGGGGAGCAGCCCAGAGUCUGAAUCAGCUUGUGUGUUAGUGGAACGGUCUGGAAAGUCCGACGGUACAGGGUGAUAGUCCCGUACACCAAAAUGCACAGGCUGUGAACUCGAAGAGUAGGGCGGGACACGUGGUAUCCUGUCUGAAUAUGGGGGGACCAUCCUCCAAGGCUAAAUACUCCUGACUGACCGAUAGUGAACCAGUACCGUGAGGGAAAGGCGAAAAGAACCCCGGCGAGGGGAGUGAAAAAGAACCUGAAACCGUGUACGUACAAGCAGUGGGAGCACCUUCGGGUGUGACUGCGUACCUUUUGUAUAAUGGGUCAGCGACUUAUAUUCUGUAGCAAGGUUAACCGUAUAGGGGAGCCGCAGGGAAACCGAGUCUUAACUGGGCGUUAAGUUGCAGGGUAUAGACCCGAAACCCGGUGAUCUAGCCAUGGGCAGGUUGAAGGUUGGGUAACACUAACUGGAGGACCGAACCGACUAAUGUUGAAAAAUUAGCGGAUGACUUGUGGCUGGGGGUGAAAGGCCAAUCAAACCGGGAGAUAGCUGGUUCUCCCCGAAAGCUAUUUAGGUAGCGCCUCGUGAACUCAUCUUCGGGGGUAGAGCACUGUUUCGGCUAGGGGGUCAUCCCGACUUACCAACCCGAUGCAAACUACGAAUACCGAAGAAUGUUAUCACGGGAGACACACGGCGGGUGCUAACGUCCGUCGUGAAGAGGGAAACAACCCAGACCGCCAGCUAAGGUCCCAAAGUCAUGGUUAAGUGGGAAACGAUGUGGGAAGGCACAGACAGCCAGGAUGUUGGCUUAGAAGCAGCCAUCAUUUAAAGAAAGCGUAAUAGCUCACUGGUCGAGUCGGCCUGCGCGGAAGAUGUAACGGGGCUAAACCAUGCACCGAAGCUGCGGCAGCGACACUAUGUGUUGUUGGGUAGGGGAGCGUUCUGUAAGCCUGCGAAGGUGUGCUGUGAGGCAUGCUGGAGGUAUCAGAAGUGCGAAUGCUGACAUAAGUAACGAUAAAGCGGGUGAAAAGCCCGCUCGCCGGAAGACCAAGGGUUCCUGUCCAACGUUAAUCGGGGCAGGGUGAGUCGACCCCUAAGGCGAGGCCGAAAGGCGUAGUCGAUGGGAAACAGGUUAAUAUUCCUGUACUUGGUGUUACUGCGAAGGGGGGACGGAGAAGGCUAUGUUAGCCGGGCGACGGUUGUCCCGGUUUAAGCAUGUAGGCUGGUUGUCCAGGCAAAUCCGGAUAAUCAAGGCUGAGGUGUGAUGACGAGGCACUACGGUGCUGAAGUAACAAAUGCCCUGCUUCCAGGAAAAGCCUCUAAGCAUCAGGUAACAUUAAAUCGUACCCCAAACCGACACAGGUGGUCAGGUAGAGAAUACCAAGGCGCUUGAGAGAACUCGGGUGAAGGAACUAGGCAAAAUGGUGCCGUAACUUCGGGAGAAGGCACGCUGGUGUGUAGGUGAAGUCCCUGCGGAUGGAGCUGAGACCAGUCGAAGAUACCAGCUGGCUGCAACUGUUUAUUAAAAACACAGCACUGUGCAAACACGAAAGUGGACGUAUACGGUGUGACGCCUGCCCGGUGCCGGAAGGUUAAUUGAUGGGGUUAUCCGUAAGGAGAAGCUCUUGAUCGAAGCCCCGGUAAACGGCGGCCGUAACUAUAACGGUCCUAAGGUAGCGAAAUUCCUUGUCGGGUAAGUUCCGACCUGCACGAAUGGCGUAAUGAUGGCCAGGCUGUCUCCACCCGAGACUCAGUGAAAUUGAACUCGCUGUGAAGAUGCAGUGUACCCGCGGCAAGACGGAAAGACCCCGUGAACCUUUACUAUAGCUUGACACUGAACAUUGAGCCUUGAUGUGUAGGAUAGGUGGGAGGCUUUGAAGCGUGGACGCCAGUCUGCGUGGAGCCAACCUUGAAAUACCACCCUUUAAUGUUUGAUGUUCUAACGUUGGCCCCUGACCGGGGUUGCGGACAGUGUCUGGUGGGUAGUUUGACUGGGGCGGUCUCCUCCCAAAGCGUAACGGAGGAGCACGAAGGUUAGCUAAUCCUGGUCGGACAUCAGGAGGUUAGUGCAAUGGCAUAAGCUAGCUUGACUGCGAGCGUGACGGCGCGAGCAGGUGCGAAAGCAGGUCAUAGUGAUCCGGUGGUUCUGAAUGGAAGGGCCAUCGCUCAACGGAUAAAAGGUACUCCGGGGAUAACAGGCUGAUACCGCCCAAGAGUUCAUAUCGACGGCGGUGUUUGGCACCUCGAUGUCGGCUCAUCACAUCCUGGGGCUGAAGUAGGUCCCAAGGGUAUGGCUGUUCGCCAUUUAAAGUGGUACGCGAGCUGGGUUUAGAACGUCGUGAGACAGUUCGGUCCCUAUCUGCCGUGGGCGCUGGAGAAUUGAGGGGGGCUGCUCCUAGUACGAGAGGACCGGAGUGGACGCAUCACUGGUGUUCGGGUUGUCAUGCCAAUGGCACUGCCCGGUAGCUAAAUGCGGAAGAGAUAAGUGCUGAAAGCAUCUAAGCACGAAACUUGCCCCGAGAUGAGUUCUCCCUGAGACUU
This 2630-nucleotide ribosomal RNA is filed under the name Klebsiella pneumoniae. RNAcentral describes it as "partial 23S ribosomal RNA". It matches the Rfam family "Bacterial large subunit ribosomal RNA". The record is from RNAcentral. Lineage: Bacteria; Pseudomonadati; Pseudomonadota; Gammaproteobacteria; Enterobacterales; Enterobacteriaceae.